GCUGGUGUAGCUCAGGGGUAGAGCGUGUCCUUGGUAAGGACAAGGUCGGAGGUUCAAUCCCUCCCAUCAGCACCA
Molecule: transfer RNA, 75 nt
Filed under: Rhodospirillaceae bacterium
Lineage: Bacteria; Pseudomonadati; Pseudomonadota; Alphaproteobacteria; Rhodospirillales; Rhodospirillaceae
Description: tRNA-Thr
Rfam family: tRNA
About the family: Transfer RNA (tRNA) molecules are approximately 80 nucleotides in length. Their secondary structure includes four short double-helical elements and three loops (D, anti-codon, and T loops). Further hydrogen bonds mediate the characteristic L-shaped molecular structure. tRNAs have two regions of fundamental functional importance: the anti-codon, which is responsible for specific mRNA codon recognition, and the 3' end, to which the tRNAs corresponding amino acid is attached (by aminoacyl-tRNA synthetases). tRNAs cope with the degeneracy of the genetic code in two manners: having more than one tRNA (with a specific anti-codon) for a particular amino acid; and 'wobble' base-pairing, i.e. permitting non-standard base-pairing at the 3rd anti-codon position.
Source: RNAcentral